This 1608-nucleotide ribosomal RNA is filed under the name metagenome. Its description in RNAcentral is "bacterial LSU rRNA". It matches the Rfam family "Bacterial large subunit ribosomal RNA", at positions 1291 to 2925 of the family's 2925-position model. The record is from RNAcentral.
AGAAUGCCGGAAUGAGUAGCGAGAAUAAGGUGAGAAUCCUUAUGGCCGAAUAUCCAAGGUUUCCAGAGUAAAGCUGAUCUGCUCUGGGUAAGUCGGGGCCUAAGGCGAGGACGAGAGUCGUAGCCGAUGGACAACAGGUGGAGAUUCCUGUACUGCGGUAUGACAGAACUGUGGGGACACGUAAGGAAAGCGGAAGCCGGGAAUGGAAAGCCCGGUGCAAGCGGGGUACCAGUCACUCUGGCAAAUCCGGGUGGCAAUGGGAAGCCGUGAUGCGGAGCGAAAUAAAGUAGCGAAGUCCGUGAGCCAUGCGUCAAGAAAAGCCGCUAUCGUUUAUACCGCACCCGUACCGUAAACCGACACAGGUGGAUGAGGAGAGAAUCCUAAGGCCGGCGGAAGAAGCAUUGUCAAGGAACUCGGCAAAAUGGCCCCGUAACUUAGGGAUAAGGGGUGCCUGGGAAACCAGGCCGCAGAGAAUAGGCUCAAGCAACUGUUUAGCAAAAACACAGGUCUAUGCGAAACCGAAAGGUGAGGUAUAUGGGCUGACGCCUGCCCGGUGCUGGAAGGUUAAGAGGAGAGGUUAGCGCAAGCGAAGCUUUGAAUUUAAGCCCCAGUAAACGGCGGCCGUAACAAUAACGGUCCUAAGGUAGCGAAAUUCCUUGUCGGGUAAGUUCCGACCCGCACGAAAGGCGUAAUGAUUUGAGCGCUGUCUCGACAAUGCAUCCGGUGAAAUUGAAGUACCAGUGAAGAUGCUGGUUACCUGCGCCAGGACGGAAAGACCCCAUGGAGCUUUACUCCAGUUUGGUACUGGGACUCGGUAUUGCAUGUACAGGAUAGGUGGGAGGCUAGGAGAUAGUAACGCCAGUUAUUAUGGAGCCGCUGUUGGGAUACCACCCUUGCAGUAUUGGGUUUCUAACCAGCCGCCGUGACCCGGCGGUGGGACAAUGCCAGACGGGGAGUUUGACUGGGGCGGUCGCCUCCGAAAGGGUAUCGGAGGCGCCCAAAGGUUCCCUCAGAAUGGACGGAAACCAUUCGAAGAGUGCAAAGGCAGAAGGGAGCUUGACUGCGACACCGACGGGUGGAGCAGGUACGAAAGUAGGGCUUAGUGAUCCGGUGGUAUUAAGUGGGAAUGCCAUCGCUCAACGGAUAAAAGCUACCCUGGGAUAACAGGCUUAUCACUCCCAAGAGUUCACAUCGACGGAGUGGUUUGGCACCUCGAUGUCGGCUCAUCGCAUCCUGGGGCUGUAGUAGGUCCCAAGGGUUGGGCUGUUCGCCCAUUAAAGCGGUACGCGAGCUGGGUUCAGAACGUCGUGAGACAGUUCGGUCCCUAUCCGGCGUGGGCGUAGGAUAUCUGAGAGGAGCUGUCCUUAGUACGAGAGGACCGGGAUGGACGGGCCGCUGGUGCAUCGGUUAGACUGCCAAGUCUACGGCCGAGUAGCCAAGCCCGGAAGGGAUAAACGCUGAAGGCAUCUAAGCGUGAAGCCCCCCUUAAGAUGAGAUAUCCCAUUCGAAAGAAGUAAACCCCCUUGAAGACGACGAGGUAGAUAGGGCAGAGGUGGAAGUGUGGCAACACAUGGAGCUGACUGUUACUAAUCGGGUGAGGGCUUGACC